RNAcentral lists this non-coding RNA (25 nucleotides) under Mus musculus (house mouse). Lineage: Eukaryota; Metazoa; Chordata; Mammalia; Rodentia; Muridae. The record is from RNAcentral.
CCACCUCCAGAGCUUAGCUCUACCA